RNAcentral lists this ribosomal RNA (477 nucleotides) under uncultured anaerobic ammonium-oxidizing bacterium. RNAcentral's name for it is "bacterial SSU rRNA". It matches the Rfam family "Bacterial small subunit ribosomal RNA", at positions 364 to 831 of the family's 1533-position model. The record is from RNAcentral.
UUUCGCAAUGCCCGAAAGGGUGACGAAGCGACGCCGCGUGGGUGAGGAAGGCCUUCGGGUUGUAAAGCCCUGUCAGGAGUUAAGAAAUGUAGGUUCGCUAAUAUCGUGCCUAUUUGACAAAGGCUCCAAAGGAAGCCACGGCUAACUCUGUGCCAGCAGCCGCGGUAAUACAGAGGUGGCAAGCGUUGUUCGGAAUUAUUGGGCGUAAAGAGCACGUAGGUGGAUUUGUAAGUCAGAUGUGAAAGCCUUCUGUUCAACGGGAGAAUUGCAUCUGAAACUAUAAACCUUGAGUGUAGGAGGGGAGAAUGGGACUUCUGGUGGAGCGGUGAGAUGCGUAGAUAUCAGAAGGAACGCCGGCGGCGAAAGCGAUUCUCUGGCCUAUUACUGACACUCAGUGUGCGAAAGCUAGGGGAGCAAACGGGAUUAGAUACCCCGGUAGUCCUAGCCGUAGACGAUGGGCACUAAGUAGAGGGGUUU